AGCUCCAAUAGCGUAUAUUAAAGUUGUUGCAGUUAAAAAGCUCGUAGUUGGAUCUCAGGUGCAGGCGGACGGUCCGGCUCGCGCCGGUUCACUGUCCGUAUUUCCUGCCCUACUGGUCUGCCGGCUCUCUCCCGCGGGUGCUCUUCGCUGAGCGUCCCGGGUGGCCGGCGCGUUUACUUUGAAAAAAUUAGAGUGUUCAAAGCAGGCCUCGGCUGCCUGAAUAAUGGUGCAUGGAAUAAUGGAAUAGGACCUCGGUUCUAUUUUGUUGGUUUUCGGAACUGGAGGUAAUGAUUAACAGGGACAAACGGGGGCAUUCGUAUUGCGGCGUUAGAGGUGAAAUUCUUGGAUCGCCGCAAGACGAGCUACUGCGAAAGCAUUUGUCAAGAAUGUUUUCA
This 395-nucleotide ribosomal RNA is filed under the name marine Metazoa environmental sample. RNAcentral describes it as "SSU rRNA". It matches the Rfam family "Eukaryotic small subunit ribosomal RNA", at positions 587 to 972 of the family's 1831-position model. Lineage: Eukaryota; Metazoa. The record is from RNAcentral.